This 468-nucleotide ribosomal RNA is filed under the name uncultured bacterium. RNAcentral describes it as "partial 16S ribosomal RNA". It matches the Rfam family "Bacterial small subunit ribosomal RNA", at positions 28 to 507 of the family's 1533-position model. The record is from RNAcentral.
GACGAACGCUGGCGGCGUGCUUAACACAUGCAAGUCGAACGGCAAGGCCCUGCUUUUGUGGGGUGCUCGAGUGGCGAACGGGUGAGUAACACGUGAGUAACCUGCCCUUGACUUUGGGAUAACUUCAGGAAACUGGGGCUAAUACCGGAUAGCAGCUCCUGCUGCAUGGUGGGGGUUGGAACGUUUCGGCGGUUGGGGAUGGACUCGCGGCUUAUCAGCUUGUUGGUGGGGUAGUGGCUUACCAAGGCUUUGACGGGUAGCCGGCCUGAGAGGGUGACCGGCCACAAGGGGACUGAGAGACGGCGCAGAGUCCUACGGGAGGCAGUAGGGGGGAAUAUGGCACAAUGGGCGGAAGCCUGAGGCAGAAACGCCGGGGGCGGGAUGACGGCCUGCGGGGUGUAAACAGCUGUCGCCUGUGACGAAGCGUGAGUGACGGUAAUGGGUAAAGAAGCACCGGCUAACUACGUG